AUGAACGCUGGCGGCGUGCCUAAUACAUGCAAGUCGAGCGAACAGAUGAGGAGCUUGCUCCUCUGACGUUAGCGGCGGACGGGUGAGUAACACGUGGAUAACCUACCUAUAAGACUGGGAUAACUUCGGGAAACCGGAGCUAAUACCGGAUAAUAUAUUGAACCGCAUGGUUCAAUAGUGAAAGACGGUUUUGCUGUCACUUAUAGAUGGAUCCGCGCCGCAUUAGCUAGUUGGUAAGGUAACGGCUUACCAAGGCAACGAUGCGUAGCCGACCUGAGAGGGUGAUCGGCCACACUGGAACUGAGACACGGUCCAGACUCCUACGGGAGGCAGCAGUAGGGAAUCUUCCGCAAUGGGCGAAAGCCUGACGGAGCAACGCCGCGUGAGUGAUGAAGGUCUUCGGAUCGUAAAACUCUAUUAUUAGGGAAGAACAAAUGUGUAAGUAACUAUGCACGUCUUGACGGUACCUAAUCAGAAAGCCACGGCUAACUACGUG
Molecule: ribosomal RNA, 496 nt
Filed under: uncultured bacterium
Lineage: Bacteria
Description: partial 16S ribosomal RNA
Rfam family: Bacterial small subunit ribosomal RNA
Source: RNAcentral